Molecule: non-coding RNA, 26 nt
Filed under: Mus musculus (house mouse)
Lineage: Eukaryota; Metazoa; Chordata; Mammalia; Rodentia; Muridae
Source: RNAcentral
UGGUAGUGGACCCUGGAAUGGCUCUC